Small nucleolar RNA from Callithrix jacchus (white-tufted-ear marmoset), 65 nucleotides. The record is from Ensembl. Lineage: Eukaryota; Metazoa; Chordata; Mammalia; Primates; Cebidae.
ACGUAAAAAUGUUCAUCAAACGUCUGACCUGAAAUGAGCAUAUAGACAAAGUUAACACUGAAGGA